This 782-nucleotide long non-coding RNA is filed under the name Homo sapiens (human). RNAcentral describes it as "non-protein coding lnc-TMCO4-1:2". Lineage: Eukaryota; Metazoa; Chordata; Mammalia; Primates; Hominidae. The record is from RNAcentral.
AUUCCAGAUCAUCACCCCUCUAAGUUCAGGCCCCAGACUACUCUGAUUCAAAUAAAUCAGGUGGCAAGUCGGGAAUGACAGCAACUCGCAUCAGGGCCUGGCGGUGUCUAUGAAAUGCUCCAGGUGACCUUCUCCAGAAGGCACUUUGGUUUCCGCCGGGGAGCAGCGUGGCCUCCUGAGCCGGUUCCCCGCCGCGUGCCGGGGAAUGCACCACCCGGGAGGAGAACCCCGCGGCUCCGGCACGAGGGUGUGCCCCGACACUGUCUUCCACUCAAGAGCUCUGCGACUCUCCUGCCACCUGCCAACCCCGACCACCUCCUCCGGGCUGCAACUCCACCCCGCACCCGGGCUGCUGCUCCGGCUCCUCGGGUCUGUGCCCGCCGCCCGAGUGACCUCCCGCCGGGGCCCGGGCGGCUCGCCCUGGCCGGAGGGGCCGGAAAAGGCCGAGAGGCCUGACCUCCCGUGGGGCUUCCCUUCCUUCCUCCUGGGCAGCGCAGCCUGGAGCCAGCAGCUCUGCACCGGCCGGGCCUGCUGGGGCGAAAAGCCCCUUACCUAUCUUCACGACCGCAUCCGCCAGACACCGGUCCCACUUCCUGCCGAGCUCCGACUCAGACAUGUUCCCCACCCGCGCCUCCAGCUUUCCUCUCGGCCGGCCCCCGCGCUCCGACCCCUGAAAGUCUCGCGAGAGCUGGAAACAAGUCCCAGGUUGUAAAUUCAGCUUCCUUAACGUCGCAGAUUAGAAUGUUCUACACCACAGCACCUGCAUAAAUAAAGGUCUUUUA